Microcebus murinus (gray mouse lemur) is the source of this 90-nucleotide microRNA precursor. Ensembl annotates it as microRNA 200b. Its record names the gene MIR200B. Lineage: Eukaryota; Metazoa; Chordata; Mammalia; Primates; Cheirogaleidae. The record is from Ensembl.
UCGGGCGGCCGUGGCCAUCUUACUGGGCAGCAUUGGAUGGUGUCUGGUCUCUAAUACUGCCUGGUAAUGAUGACGGCGGAGCCCUGCACG